Tribolium castaneum (red flour beetle) is the source of this 1226-nucleotide long non-coding RNA. RefSeq lists it as uncharacterized. The transcript is spliced from 3 exons. The record is from RefSeq and is a predicted model, not a curated record. Lineage: Eukaryota; Metazoa; Arthropoda; Insecta; Coleoptera; Tenebrionidae.
CCAAUUUUUGUCAACCAGUUGUCACAAAAUUUGGAAGCAAUUUCGAAAAUUGCAUGUUACGCUGAGUGAAAAAAGAAGUACGAGUGUUUAAUUUAAAAUUCGGGUCACGGGCGAAGUGGGUUAAAUUUUGUCGUCUUGAUCUUCGGCAAGGAUUUACGUUAUCGAUUGGCGCGUCCUGAAAUGGCUGCAAUUGAAGAGAAAUUAUACAGAGGUUAACCAGUGUAAUUGGGACGUAAUUGAUUACACUUAAUUGCUCCUCUGUCAAUGCAUCGGAAACAUAACCACGAAUCAAGCAAGUUCAAUACACAUAUUUUUCUGCCGGAUUAACGUAAUUUAUGUGUGUCUGACGUAAACGAAGAUUAAUUACUAAAUGUACAAUUAAACUCAGGGAAUGAUUAAUCAGAAAAUCUUUAGCACGGCAUUAGUUUGAAAAUGAAAAAUUUGUUACGGAAGUUGUUGGAAUUUAACGACGCGGGAACAAGCGGUACCAUCAUAUUUAGCUAAUAAAUAAAAUAUUUGUGUAAAAAGGGACACCUUGUGUGCUUAAGCAUGAAUUAGAAAUGGUCGCGCAUUGUGUGCGUCUAUUUUUAGCCUCGUAUCGUUGAACAUGUUUGAAAUAUUUGUGAUAGCUGUCCAUGAAGAUGUUAAAUGGAGGCUCCGGCUAAAAAUGAUUAAAUUCUUUGUUGAAAAUGUUAAAAUGCAUCGGCGGCAACAGGUGCCCCCGAUAACACUAUGGCUGCCGUCAAUUAUUUACCGGAAAUUCGGCCGAUUUUUUUCGUGAAGGCAAUUCAAAGUGCAAUGCACCAGCUCGCACAGGAAUCCCGUUUCCAAGAGUUAUAGCCAGGAAAAUAGUUUUUGUUCGAAACCUUCAAAAGUGGCUCCGAGGUCAGACUCGAAGAAUAACAAAAAUACAAAGAAUUUUUUUGGACGUUUUAUUGCCAACGAACAAUAGAGGCUUUUUUCGGCACGAAGCUCUAUUUUCAGAAGCAUUCGACGGGGUAUUUGUACCUACACGGUGCUAAAAAUCGUACUCCGAUGGGACACAAUUAAGAAACUUUCGCCUCAAGGAUUGAUCCGUAAAUCACGAAACUUAUGAGUAAAUUGCAUUAGAAAGUUUUGAAUAAUAUUGGGCAGACUCCGACGGAAGACUUGAGUUAUGGGACGCGAUGCGCGGCCUCAUAAACUUGACAAAAUCGCCCCGAAUUAAAUUUAUUUUAAACGGAAUU